This 520-nucleotide long non-coding RNA is filed under the name Manacus vitellinus (golden-collared manakin). Its description in RNAcentral is "lncRNA (ENSMVIG00005002481.1)". The record is from RNAcentral. Lineage: Eukaryota; Metazoa; Chordata; Aves; Passeriformes; Pipridae.
UGUCAUAGAGGCAACAUAAACCCCAAAGGAUUUGUUGAGACUUUAUGAAAUAACAACAUCCAACCAAGAAACUCAAGGCUCUUUACAAGUAUUCCUGAAUUAAGCUGAUGAGGAGAUCCUCACAUACUGUGGAAAAAUACAAGAGUGUCAAUAAUGGAUCUGAACAUGAUCUGCCAGCAAGCUGGAUGAAUUGUGUGAUUGUCACAUCCACUGAAUGUUCUGGAGCAUCCCUGACAAGGCUUCCUUAUGCCAUGCUCGUGAAGUAGUGAUAUUCUGCUAUUGCAUUUCACAGGAGAAGGCACAGAGACAAUCAGUAGGUCUCCCGACAUGGCAAGAAAUUGGAGUCAAGUGUCCCAAACUAGAGGCAGUGCUCUAUUACUUCAAUCGUAGGUGUUGUAAUAUGAAAUUCUGCUCAACUUCCAAGCAAGCAAAUCUCCAUCCUGCAAAGUGCAGAGAAGAGCCUGAAGUGCUAGGACACCCCACUGACUGCAGAACAGGGAAAACACUGACAAAUCCUUGA